Molecule: unclassified non-coding RNA, 427 nt
Filed under: fungal sp.
Lineage: Eukaryota; Fungi
Description: partial internal transcribed spacer region
Rfam family: Eukaryotic small subunit ribosomal RNA (bases 1-46)
Source: RNAcentral
AAGUCGUAACAAGGUAACCGUAGGUGAACCUGCGGUUGGAUCAUUACCAAACCCAUGUUGUGUCAUGCUUGCAUGCGCAAUUCCCAACCCCAUGUGCAAUGUAUGCUGUUUUGGCGGGCAAGUGUCUGCGCCUUGGUGUGUAUAUGCCUUGCAGGGGGUUACCUCCUGACCGCCAAACUACCUUUACCACACACCAUUCAACCAUACAUCACACCUCGCGUGUGUAUUCAACUGAUGCGUGUUGGCCUUGUUUGUGGCUGUCACUGUUUCUUUGCCUGCUUCUGUCUGUCUCUGUCACUGUCUCUUUAUGAGCAGCAUCACCUGGCAGCAGCAGCAGCAAGAGCAACAUCAGCAACAAACGCCACUCAACACACCUCAGCAACAACAAAACAAAAAACAACUUUUGACAACGGAUCUCUUGGCUCUC